GUCCUUUUGAUGUUAAUUUAAGGUCUAACCUGCCCACUGAAAUUUUUUGAAGGGCCGCAGUAAUUUGACUGUGCAAAGGUAGCAUAAUCAUUAGUUUUUUAAUUGAAAGCUUGUAUGAAGGGUUGGACGAGGUAAAUUCUGUCUCUACUUAAUUUUAUUUAGAAUUUAAUUUUUAAGUUAAAAAGCUUAAAUUUAUUUAAAAGACGAGAAGACCCUAUAGAUCUUUAUAUUAAAAAUAUUAAUUUUAAUUAAGAAUAUUUAAUUUUUUAAUGUUUAUAAUAUUUUAUUGGGGUAAUAAAAAGAUUAAAAUAAUUCUUUUUUUAUUUUAACAUUAAUUUAUGAUUAUAUGAUCCAAUUUUAUUGAUUAAAAGAUUAAGUUACCUUAGGGAUAACAGCGUAAUUUUUUUAGAGAGUUCAUAUCGAUAAAAAAGUUUGCGACCUCGAUGUUGGAUUAAAAAUUAUCUUAGGUGUAGAAGUUUAAGAUUUUGGUCUGUUCACCAUUAAAUUUUU
RNAcentral lists this ribosomal RNA (510 nucleotides) under Agabus sp. IR-sp2. RNAcentral's name for it is "partial 16S ribosomal RNA". It matches the Rfam family "Bacterial large subunit ribosomal RNA", at positions 1832 to 2597 of the family's 2925-position model. Lineage: Eukaryota; Metazoa; Arthropoda; Insecta; Coleoptera; Dytiscidae. The record is from RNAcentral.